UACGGGAGGCAGCAGUGGGGAAUAUUGCACAAUGGGCGCAAGCCUGAUGCAGCCAUGCCGCGUGUACGAAGAAGGCCUUCGGGUUGUAAAGUACUUUCAGUCGUGAGGAAGGUGUUAAGGUUAAUAACCUUAGCAAUUGACGUUAGCGACAGAAGAAGCACCGGCUAACUCCGUGCCAGCAGCCGCGGUAAUACGGAGGGUGCGAGCGUUAAUCGGAAUUACUGGGCGUAAAGGGCACGCAGGCGGUUAAUUAAGUUGGAUGUGAAAUCCCCGGGCUUAACCUGGGAAUGGCAUUCAAGACUGGUUAGCUAGAGUCUUGUAGAGGGGGGUAGAAUUCCAUGUGUAGCGGUGAAAUGCGUAGAGAUGUGGAGGAAUACCGGUGGCGAAGGCGGCCCCUGGGACAAAGACUGACGCUCAUGUGCGAAAGCGUGGGGAGCAAACAGGGAUUAGAUACC
Molecule: ribosomal RNA, 455 nt
Filed under: uncultured bacterium
Lineage: Bacteria
Description: bacterial SSU rRNA
Rfam family: Bacterial small subunit ribosomal RNA
Source: RNAcentral